GUGUGUUUGUAUGAGUGUGUGUGUGUAUAUAAUGCAGAGUGUGUGUUUGUAUGAGUGUGUGUGUGUAUAUAAUGCAGAGUGUGUGUUUGUAUAAGUGUGUGUGUAUAUAAUGCAGAGUGUGUGUUUGUAUAAGUGUGUGUGUAUAUAAUGCAGAGUGUGUGUAUAUAAUUAUAAAAAUCACAGAAUUUCAUAGCCCCAAGUUUUACCCUCGACUUAUCCACGAGGCAAAGCAUAUUUCACAAUUGUUGGUCACAAAACUGCACUCGACUUAUACAUGAGAUCGACUUAUA
Molecule: non-coding RNA, 290 nt
Organism: Pelobates cultripes (western spadefoot toad)
Lineage: Eukaryota; Metazoa; Chordata; Amphibia; Anura; Pelobatidae
Source: the annotation of a GenBank genome assembly